UCUAGAACUCGAGAUAUAGGCUGAACACCGAACAAUGUCUGGACUGCAGGACAGAUUCAGACUUCUCUUUUGUUGCUAAGAUGUGAACUUGAAAACAGAACCUUUGAUUCUUGGACUCCUCAUGAAAGUUUUAGGCCUAUGUCUUAGCUUUCCAUC
Non-coding RNA from Populus trichocarpa (black cottonwood), 156 nucleotides. The record is from Rfam. NCBI's taxonomy places the organism in Eukaryota, Viridiplantae, Streptophyta, Magnoliopsida, Malpighiales, Salicaceae.